Molecule: ribosomal RNA, 253 nt
Filed under: uncultured prokaryote
Description: partial 16S ribosomal RNA
Rfam family: Bacterial small subunit ribosomal RNA
Source: RNAcentral
ACGUAGGGUGCGAGCGUUAAUCGGAAUUACUGGGCGUAAAGCGUGCGCAGGCGGUUUUGUAAGCCAGAUGUGAAAUCCCCGGGCUUAACCUGGGAAUGGCAUUUGGGACUGCAAGGCUGGAGUUUGGCAGAGGAGACUGGAAUUCCCGGUGUAGCAGUGAAAUGCGUAGAUAUCGGGAGGAAUACCGAUGGCGAAGGCAGGUCUCUGGGCAUUAACUGACGCUGAGGAGCGAAAGCAUGGGGAGCGAACAGGA